Ostrea edulis (European flat oyster) is the source of this 835-nucleotide long non-coding RNA. RefSeq lists it as uncharacterized. The record is from RefSeq and is a predicted model, not a curated record. NCBI's taxonomy places the organism in Eukaryota, Metazoa, Mollusca, Bivalvia, Ostreida, Ostreidae. The transcript is spliced from 2 exons.
GUAUUCAAACGCAAGCUGUAUAGCCUUUGCUUCGGCUGUAUGAAUUGUUGCUUCAUUUGGAAGUCGUGCAGAGAAAACGUCGUUUGUGAUUACUGCAGCAGCAGCGACUAUAUUUGGUCGUUUGAACCAUCUGUAUAGAUAUCAGUUGUAGUAUGUUUGGAUUGUUUUAUGUCGGAUAAUUUGUUUAAAAAUAACGGAAUUUGUUUCAGAUUUUUUAUAUUCAAGAAGUGAUGUGUCUACUGUGGGUUUUAGUGGUUUCCAUGGUGGUAUUUCAGAAAGUGAUGAGGGUUUUACGAUGUCCAAAGGCAAGCAUACACAUUCCUGCGACCGAACAAAGAACCCCACAGACAAUACUGAAACCAAACGGAACGUAACGCUUGUCCGCUAUAGUAGAGGAAUCGAAUUCACAUGGGCACCAAAUAGGAUCAAGAUGAACACAGCUGUAAGAAACGAAAAACAUUAGAUUAAAUUUUCACUCAAUGGAUAUGCAAUGUUUAUUGGGAAAUGAUAGAAUUGUUCUUUCUAGUAAUUAUUUUAAUUAUUGAUUGUAUAUUUUUUGACACUCCACUCGAGAAAUUUUCACUCAUAUGGAGAUGUCACCAUUGUCGGUAAAGGGGCUGUAAAAUUUAGGCCUAUAUAUGCUCAGCGCCUAUGGCCUUUGAGUUGGGAGGGAUCGCCUGCUGUGCCACGGGGCCUCGGUUUUUACGAUCUCAUCCGAAGAACCGUCCCAUUUAGUCGCCUCUUACGCACACUUAGAAUUUGUGAUCUGCGAUGGAAUGGAUCCAGAGGUGCAUAGUGGAAUACAUUAAAACUGCUAAUAAAACAUUAAAUACGG